UCUACAGCAUGAAAUAUCAAGCAUAUCUCCAAGAGAAACAAAAUAAAGAUGAAGAUCUGGGACGUCAGAUCAUAAAACAGGCAGAGCUUCACCAGGCGGCAUGAUUUUAGGAGGGUCACCACAGGCUGGACUGUGGAUUGUCAGUUUCUUGGGGCACCCAGAAGUGGGGAUGCUUAGAGAAUAAGUCUCAUAUGUAUAAACAAGAACACCAAGGUUGCUUCAUGCACAUGAAAGCAGGAUAAGGGAAUGGGACACUUCAAGCUUCAAGUAUGGCUUGAUGCACCAUCUUCCUUCCCAUGGCCUCUUUUCUCCUCUCUGGAGACUGAAAUAUAUGUUCUGCUUGAUUUAGGAUGGGGUUGAAGAAGCACAGACAAAUUCUGACUCCUUGCUGACCAUCCUCUGCAGAUGGAGUGAAACUCAAUUGAUUAGUUUCUAUUGUGACCCUCACAUUGCAGCCCUGCUUCUCCAGGUCCUCUUGCAAAUUCCCUAGGAUGCUCCUCAGAUUGACAUGGCCAGUCCUGUGGUUUCUCAGAGAAUGAAAGACAAUUUUGUGUGGAUAUAGGUAGUUUACAUGUAAGGGGUGAGUUAUAUCCUCUUAUUACCAUAUUAUUUGUUGAAGAUAGGAAUCCACGCACGUCAACCAAGGUACCGACUACAAUAUACUGCCGACCAUAAGUUUAGUGAUGAGGCUUUUAAAACAAAUGAAAGUAGGGGGCACAAUAAUUCCUUUAGAAGAAGACUCACAACUGGCAUACAGACAUUUGAUGAAGCUUGACCAAAUUAACAUUAAUUCAAAUGUUCAACAAUCAUUUAGAAGCAAAACAGACAGCACUAGGCCAGCAAACCUAGCCAUCUCCCUUUUCACUUCUCAAUCAAGACUUCAAAUUAUAUCAAGGAGAAAGUCUCUGUGUGAACCUUUGGCAUCUGCCUAGCACUGCCUAAUUACCUUUUAUCAUUAUGCAAUCCAACUAGAUAAUGCCAUCUCCACAGAACCCAUACAAUCAUCCACGGAUGCCCUAUCAUAACAGUGCAAUAAGUUGAAUUACUGCCCAGCAAUUAUUCACCACUUUCAUGUAUUCUGUAUCUUUACCUUGUGGCUUUGUGGUUCCUCCCACUGAAGGUGGAGUAUACCUCCCCACACCCUGACUUUGGGUUUGACCCUGAGGUUAGCUGAACCCACUGGGAUGAUAGCUGACAUGAUCCAAGCAGAGGCUGGGUCUGCACUUGUGCCACUGUGCGUGUCUCUUGUACUUCUGUCAACACCAUGAAAAAAGAGCAACUUCUGGCCAGCUGUUGCUCCUCAGCCUGAGGUUCCAGACCAAGCAUAUGAGGAUCAGACCUGAGCACAACUCGCAGUGAGGAGCCAAACCCAGAUGGACACACGUUUUGAGGUGGAGCUAUUGAGGCAAGGCCAGACUAGGUCAGCCAACCCCAGCCAGCCCCAGACAUACUGUGAGUUACAUCUUACAGGGUCACAGCCAAGAUUUCCAGAGACAAGGACACCUGUGGAGCUAUCAUUAUACACACCACUGUGAUUAAACUUCAGCUCACAUAGAAGCAACACGCACUGCUUUUGCCCGACUUCUGUUUUUGCAGUUGAUCUCUGAAGAGAAACCUCUAGGCUGGACCACACACAGACCUGCAAACAAUGAGGCCCAGAAAACAGAUACUGCCUUUGUUAUCCAGUGGAUGAUUCCAACUCACAGCCAGCAAUCUAUGCUUUCAAUAACGAGGAGAAGGACUGACAAGAAUCAAGCACAUACAAGGAAAGCAGUCAUGUGUUUAAGGACAUACAUGAAAAUAUCCAACAGGUUUCCCGCAGCACUCCAUAAGUCAAAUUGCAUAGCGAGCUUGAUAUUCAAGUUAAAAAAAAAAAAAAAGAGAGAGAGAGAAAAGAAAAAAGCUUUUGUUUUGUCUAUAUUUUUUAAAAAAGCGUUUUCAAGUAUUAUUUUACUGUUUUUAAUUAUUAAUGAAUUAUUAUUUAAUUAUUAAUCUCAAGGCAACAAGCUCUGCUAUUAGCUCCCUUUGACAAAGGAGAAAAUAAAGGUUAAGAAAAAUCUGAUUGCUCUUGACUAUCUGAGGGUACAAAACUAAUUAUUAUUAUUAUUUUUUGAAAUGGAGUUUAGCUCUUGUUGCCCAGGCUGGAGUGCAAUGGCUCAGUCUCGGCUCACGGUAACAUCUGCCUCCUGGGUUCAAGCGAUUCUCCUGCCUCAGCCUCACAAGUAGCGGGGUAUUACAGGCAUGUGCCACCACGCACAGCUAAUUUUGUAUUUUUAGUAGACAUGGGGUUUCACCAUGUUGGCCAGGCUGGUCUCAAACUCCUGACCUCAGCUGAUCUGCCUGCCUUGGCCUCCCAAAGUGCUGGGAUUACAGGCGUGAGCCACCACGCCCAGCCUGAAGCUAAUUAUUAAGACUGUUAAAUAGAGCCUGAGUUUGAGACUAAGAUGCUGUCUACUAGGUAAAAAUAUUUUUCUGUAGCCCAUUUAAUCAUUAAGCACAAUAUAAAUUUUGAUCUUCACAUACAUUUUUACCAUUAGAGUUUAAGCAUAUUUAUUUCAUAAAGGAAAUAUAAAAUGACCUCUCAUUUAUUUAUUUAUCUAUCUAUCUUUGGUAAAGGAUGUCCAAAAACUAACCAGUCUGAAAUGGUAUUGAUUUAAGAAAAUACAUUUUCAUGAAAACCAGCCACUGGAGCUUGGAACUGCUUUUAUUCAUCUCCCUCCCCAUACCAGCAACAACAG
RNAcentral lists this long non-coding RNA (2738 nucleotides) under Homo sapiens (human). Its description in RNAcentral is "HSALNT0264723". The record is from RNAcentral. Lineage: Eukaryota; Metazoa; Chordata; Mammalia; Primates; Hominidae.